UACGUAGGGACCGAGCGUUGUCCGGAUUCAUUGGGCGUAAAGAGCUCGUAGGCGGCCACUCAAGUCGAAUGUGAAAACUUGAGGCUCAACCUCGAGACGCCGAUGGAAACCGUCUGGCUAGAGUCCGGAAGAGGAGAGUGGAAUUCCUGGUGUAGCGGUGAAAUGCGCAGAUAUCAGGAAGAACACCCGUGGCUAAGGCGGCUCUCUAGUACGGUACUGACGCUGAGACGCGAAAGCGUGGGGAGCGAACAGG
Molecule: ribosomal RNA, 253 nt
Filed under: uncultured bacterium
Lineage: Bacteria
Description: partial 16S ribosomal RNA
Rfam family: Bacterial small subunit ribosomal RNA
Source: RNAcentral